UGAGACGUUUUAGGUGGCUAAUAAGCAAACAAAAGCAAAGUGCUUCCAUACAUUUUAUUAUUAUUUGUUCAAGUGUAAAACAAAGUAUCUGACCGAUAUUGGUAUCGGCAUAUAGCCCAAGCUGCGGUAUCAAUAUCGGAAGUGAAAAGAUGGAAUCGGGACAUCCCUAAUUUGAUCACUUUCUAAAUAUAGUCAAUAACCACACAAACAGCAUAUUUAUUUAAUUUCAUUUAUUUGCUAAUCUUACUUCACUUUUUCUUCAACUUGUAUUUUUUUUUACAACGACUUAAAAUGAUAAUUCCCCCAUAAUUGCCUAAUAAGGAUAACAUCUUCCACGGGUAUUUCAAAAAUAUCAUACAGUAGUAACCAAUACUGUUAUAAUUUAUACAUGUAUCUCUCAAAAUAAGAAUAAUCUUCAGCUUUACAAUUUCAUUUUCUACAAUAUUCCUUCCCCCCGAUCUCUCCCGUGUCCCGACUGCCGAGCCAUGCACUGCUGUGUGCCUUGAUGUCAGUGCCCUUGAGCCAAGUGUACGAGAACGGCGGUUGCGAGCGCGAGAGCAGAAAGUUCAGAAAAAGGUAUUUACACCGUGGAGCUGUUGUGAGACAAAGUACGUGGUUUGUUUUUUUAAUUCUUGAUGACGGUAGGAUCGAGACACGGGUUCAGUGUUGAGACUAGCGGGCCAGUUCUUCAGGUUCCAUUAAAUAAAAAUAUAAACAUAAACGCUGUCCGUUGAUCGCCGAUCAAAAAAAGCUAAACUGAUUGGAUGAGAAGUCAAACCGUCUUUGGUGGUUCUUUCUGCAGGGGGCGUUAGUGCUCGUUAAAGUGCAUUUAUUACAUAACUCGUUAACUGUGAGAUACCUGGUUAACUGUUACAGAACUAGUUAACUGUUUUAGAGAACUCGUUAACUGCCUUAGUCGUCCUGAAGGGAAUGUCGUAGUGUUGCAGACACCAAGGUGGGAAUGGGAUAGGUUGUUUUUUUUACCAUCUCGUUCUCCUGAUCUCAAAAAAAAGAAAGAAAUGAGUCGGACCAAUCGGAAAGCUCAGUUUGGAUGUUGGAAUCUUUGUCAUCUGAAGAUGAUUGGCCUCCGUACAGGAAGUGACCUCAGAGGGAAGACAAGGCUCAUAUCUACAAGAAAAUAAUAAUAGCAAGAUUCGCGAUAUCCAAUCCAAGUCAAACUCAUACGAGAUAACAUCAACAUACAGAACAGUAUCAUACAUCAUAUAUUGUAAUGUAUCCAAUAGACUACAACUUUGCUAGAAAAUACUUCUUAAAUCAAUAACAGGGUUUUUUUUAAACAUAGAAGAUUUUUCUUUCAGUAUUACCCUUCAAAAACAAAAAUGAAAAAAAGACCACAGAAUAUUUACAGAUUAGUUUGGUGAGUUAAAUACGUGUUUUGGUGAGUUAACUACAGAUAAUGGAACUGUUAGCUUGUGUCCACACAACAUGCUACAAUUCAGGCAACCAUUGUCCACCGAGAGACGAGAAAGACCACUCUGUCGUUACAUCACCUCGACUAUAAAAAUACCUAGGAUCUACAGACGGGUAGAAAACUAUACAUGUACAAGUCCUUUGAAGCCAAGGCAUUCUCCCCCCCAGAGCCACAGGUGAGCUGUACAGGCGAGCAACGGUAGAGAUUUACAGGUGGGCUUGACAGGCGAGAUUUGGUGAAAACAAAACAACGUUGAAUGCAGUGACGGUGAAGAGCUUCAGGCAGUAUGGAAACGAUCUCCCCCGCUUCAAUGGUGUGGAGACCCCCGUGUACAGUCCAGAGACGAGGCUGCGGAUAGCGUUCAGCUUCUGUCAAAGAUAAGUAAUUUUUUAAGUCCAGAGACCUAAUAAGGAUCCUUCUCUCCCUCCAGAAGGGGUGAUGGAAACAAGCCGGAGUCAUGAGGGUUCCUGUUCCUCCCUGGUGUAGCUGGGCCCGCUCUGGUCUGAUCCAGGGCUCUGGUGGAGUUAUUGCAAGCCAAGUGUGGCUUUAGGUAGUCCUUCUCAUCAUGUCCUUUAGUGGGCUGGCCUCCCCCUAACAUCCCAUAAUAAUACCAGCGCAUCCCCACCAGUUCAUCGGCCCCCGGAGACAACAGCACAGUGAUGAAGGAGAGGGAAAUACUCUGGCAGAGUGUUUCAGACAGAAGCCAGUAUUUGUGUGUUUCUGUGUCAGCACAGCUGUGGUGCCGUCCAGUCUCGCUGCGUUCUGAGCCUCUUUUAGUCCAUUUCCCCGUUUCAAAUUUAACAUUUGACCCCUUGCAAAGAAGUGUCCCUUUUAGACAAAUCAAAACACACGUGUGAUAAAUUCAGAGUGCAAAGUACAUUUGAUUGUGAAACUUCAUAAACAUCAAUAACCUUAUGAACAUAAAUGAUCAGUAUUGUUCUCCCCACGGUGGCUCAAUGAACUCUCUGACACUGUCACUCAGGAGAACACUGGAGAUCAGGUGGGCUGUUCUAGAAAAUAAAAAAUACACUUCCCAGACUCAACCUCUGUUCCCGUCGUUAAACUUGACAUAGGCGCUCGCUAUUAAAUCACCCCCUCUUUAUACAUUCUUACACCACUUGGAAAUAUAAUUUAAGUUAUUUUACAGUUAGUUCAUGGUUGGGUUACUGCUAGCGCCUGGGAAUGCAGGGCAUGAUGGGAAAUGAAGUCUUGGUGUCCAACCCACCUGAGGCCCAGGACUCGUGUCAUAGCAAAACAAAUGCACAGAAAGGAGCAGGAUCAUAAGCCACCUGGGUCCUUCACUAUAACUUAUUACUUCACCAGACCCUGUCAAAGCCUUUGAGCAAACAACAAAAAGAGGAAAAUAAUAAGAAAACACUGCACACACACACACACACACACACACACACACACACACACACACACACACACACACACACACACACACACACACACACACACACACACACACACACACACACACACACACACACACACACACACACGGGUGUCCUUGUGGGUUCCACCCAUGGAAACGCCCCCUAUCCUUCAUGGAGAGGCGCUGCAGACCAACAGAGACCUGCUUGGGGUGGGUCUCCUGGCCAGCGCAUCAGAGGACUCAUCUCUCAGCCCUGUUUAGGGGACCCUCCCCAGCCCCACCACCCCAGGGGACCAGCAGCACGCUGGGGUCAGAUAUUCUACCUCUGGGCCAAUCGUGGGGAUUCGUGUUAAAGGUCUUCAUGGGGUCGGACAGCAGAACGAUGCGUCCCUUUAGAACCAGGACAUGACGUCAAGACAGGAACACGGGACAGCUGGCUUGCCUUCAGAACGGCGAGCUCACGGAACCGACACACCGACACACCGACACACACACACACACACACACACACACACACA
Long non-coding RNA from Gadus macrocephalus (Pacific cod), 3328 nucleotides. RefSeq lists it as uncharacterized. Lineage: Eukaryota; Metazoa; Chordata; Actinopteri; Gadiformes; Gadidae. The record is from RefSeq and is a predicted model, not a curated record. The transcript is spliced from 2 exons.